RNAcentral lists this transfer RNA (70 nucleotides) under Amalosia rhombifer (zigzag velvet gecko). RNAcentral's name for it is "tRNA-Trp". The record is from RNAcentral. Lineage: Eukaryota; Metazoa; Chordata; Lepidosauria; Squamata; Diplodactylidae.
AGAAACUUAGGUUAAUAGAACUAAACCAGAGACCUUCAAAGUCUCAAACAGGAGCCUCUCCUAGUUUCUG